Long non-coding RNA from Peromyscus leucopus (white-footed mouse), 176 nucleotides. RefSeq lists it as uncharacterized. The transcript has 2 exons. NCBI's taxonomy places the organism in Eukaryota, Metazoa, Chordata, Mammalia, Rodentia, Cricetidae. The record is from RefSeq and is a predicted model, not a curated record.
GUUCAAUGUCACUGAUCAUCAGAGAAAUAUAAAUCAAAACCACAAUGGAAUAUCAUCUCACCCUAAUGAAAAUGGAUACUAUCAAAAGCACAUAAUAAUAAAAUAGUAGUAGUAGUAGUAGUUGUCGUCGUCGUCGUCGUCGUCGUCGUCGUAGUAGUAUGCCAGGAAGGAUAAAG